RNAcentral lists this ribosomal RNA (211 nucleotides) under Helicobacter pylori. RNAcentral's name for it is "partial 23S ribosomal RNA". It matches the Rfam family "Bacterial large subunit ribosomal RNA", at positions 1898 to 2108 of the family's 2925-position model. Lineage: Bacteria; Pseudomonadati; Campylobacterota; Epsilonproteobacteria; Campylobacterales; Helicobacteraceae. The record is from RNAcentral.
GAUGAAGCGUUGAAUUGAAGCCCGAGUAAACGGCGGCCGUAACUAUAACGGUCCUAAGGUAGCGAAAUUCCUUGUCGGUUAAAUACCGACCUGCAUGAAUGGCGUAACGAGAUGGGAGCUGUCUCAACCAGAGAUUCAGUGAAAUUGUAGUGGAGGUGAAAAUUCCUCCUACCCGCGGCAAGACGGAAAGACCCCGUGGACCUUUACUACA